RNAcentral lists this long non-coding RNA (1720 nucleotides) under Sorghum bicolor (sorghum). RNAcentral describes it as "long non-coding RNA (SBIC_LNC014598)". Lineage: Eukaryota; Viridiplantae; Streptophyta; Magnoliopsida; Poales; Poaceae. The record is from RNAcentral.
CCGGAUUAGGAGUAGAAUAUUUUUGGGUGGUUCUGGAGAUGGACAUGGAUGGAUAUAUGUGGAUGGUACUUCCAGAGUAGAAGUAGCAUAUAUGAGUGAACGUGCAAGUGAAUCUUGAUUUAACCACAUGACAAGCUCCUAAGGGUCUACAUAGCUUGACCACACUCAAUGCUCAUAAGCAGUAAAUAAUAAAUGUGUGGCUCAAAGUCUAGCAAGCAUGUAUAUAUGGCUGUGGUAGGAAUUUAAACUUUCAUCAUACAGGAACUCAUCAUGCAAUAUUUUAAAGAUUUUUCAAAGAUAAAAUUCUCCAGAAUUCUAGCAUCUCUAGGAACAGAUAAACAGCAGCUCAACCUUCCCAUAUCAUAUCCGUUAACAACUUAGAUUUCAGAUCAAGUUUUCAUCCCACAAGUUUAGAACUUGAGCAAGCUUUAAAUUAUAACAGUUAUGUCUAAACUUAAGAGAGAACUUCAAAUUUGCAAAUUAGGCAGAGCAACUAUUCAUCAUAUCCAUGCUAGAGUUUUAUUAUUAAGAUUCAGAUUAGCAUAGCCACUUUAUUUAUUAAACACACUAAGCAAAAGAUAUAUAUAUAAGCUCAAAAUCUUUAUUUGGUUUUUCAUAGUUUAUGUAUUUUAAUAUUCUAAUAUAAUAUAAGUAUAAAGAUAGGUAGAAAUACUUAGCGAGAUAAAUGGUGGUGCUCUCCCCCAAGCUGAAUUUUGACGUAAUUUCUCUUGAUGUAGCUAGCAAGUGGCAGAGGUGUAUUUGAAAGUCAGCAGCAUUCUGACAGCGAUUAGAAUGUCCUCCGUCUGCUAGUCUUCUUGAUUCUUAAAUUCUGUGGAGCUCAAAUAGACAACAAAGCUUGUGGAACUAAUUAAGUGUUAGCAUAAAUAUCUAGCCUUCAUCAUGUUGAGCUUCCUCAAUAAAUAUUACUCCCUGUUUUUAUAUUUUUAUUUUAUAAAGUAGAAAAGAAAUAUUUAUUUUAUUUUUAUGCCACCACAGUGAAGGUACUUAUGGGUUUUAUGCCACUCGUAUACACACAUGGGGCUUAGUAUUUUUUAACAUUUUUAUUUUCUUUUCAAGAUAGCAUGAUUAACUAAUAAUCUAUUUAAGGAAAGUAAAUAAUUAAAGGGAAAAGGGAAUGCAGAAAUGAUAAAUAUGGAUAACUACUGAUCUUACCUUUCGGCGAGGGUUCAAUGUUUUAAGUCUUCUUAACAAGACUUCUCACCGUGUUCAUUCUUCAGGUGCGUCAUUUGAUUCAGGUGCGGACCUUGACGUCUGCACCUCUUGAUACGGUGUCACCCAUGUUCUUCGUUUGCCCAGCAGUUCGAAGUGCGGUGUUGGCAGUAACCUGCUCAGUGUGUUUGUGCUCAUAGAUCCAGGUCCUUCACUUGGUAGAGUCUGAGAGUUAUAAAACUCCUCCGUGUUUUGCUCAAAGUGUACCUACUCAUAGAGACAAGGCAGAGAUCAAGUGCAUGGGUCCUGUUGGUGGAAAACACCAACAGAACCUAAAGUGUAUUUGUUCUUCUCUAACCCUAAGCAUAGUGAGCAAGAUAAAGUUGAUGGAUGAAAAGUUCAUGAGUGUAGCACUUAUAACAUUUGUCAGAUCAGAUCGCUCAACCUUAUGGAAAGAUAAUCUAUCUAUGUAUAUGUCUUUUUCUUUAUAUCUCUCAAUGAUUGAAUGUGUAACAUUUUAGCUCAUAUGAUUAGGAGUGUGGGAUCAUGG